GGCGCAUUUAAGUCGAUUCAAAACAUCACGUCAUACAAAUGAAACCGCUAAAGUUAAAAGUUUUCUAUUAUGUGAACCAUCGAAAUUCGUAUGAUAUUGUAUUAAAACUGAUUUUUGAGGUAGGUUUUGUUUUAUUUUCUAUUCUAUUGCAUUAUUUACAUAUUUACCAAUUUCAGCAAGUCAACAUGGCGGCUCCUUAGUUACGAAAUGUCAACUUUGGAUUAGACAGAAGCUUACGAGAAAAUUGUGUAAAUUAAAAAUGGCAAAUGUUGGGUUUGAGAAUUAGAAGAAUUAAAUAGUUUUUUUCUAGCGGUUAUUCACCAAAUUACCCAUGCAAGCUACGGAUUUAUUAAGAUAUUUGAGCCUUAUCUAACAGGGAGUAAAAAAGAGUAGCCACACACACACACCAAAUUUAAACCAACCCUCGCAUCAGUAUUUUGAUGACCGCAUUUGUCCUAUCGGAAUCAGAAUAAUUCAUGAAAGCCAUAGAUUGUUGGAAAUUUACACAUGGCCUGGGCCGUGAUAUUCGUUAAUUUUAUCCCUC
RNAcentral lists this long non-coding RNA (544 nucleotides) under Mytilus galloprovincialis (Mediterranean mussel). Lineage: Eukaryota; Metazoa; Mollusca; Bivalvia; Mytilida; Mytilidae. The record is from RNAcentral.